Molecule: RNA transcript, 2702 nt
Organism: Manis pentadactyla (Chinese pangolin)
Lineage: Eukaryota; Metazoa; Chordata; Mammalia; Pholidota; Manidae
Gene: KLC1
Gene name: kinesin light chain 1
Exons: 18
Source: RefSeq, a predicted model, not a curated record
GGCCGAGGAUGCUUCGGGACGGCCGCGCCAGCGUCCCUCUGUCGUGACCGCGGCCGAGGCGGCCGGCUCCGCGCGGUCUUCUCCGCGCACGCGCCCCGAGACCUCCCGGCGCUGACAGCGCGAGCGCGCGGCCCGGCGGAGCAGCACGACGGACCCAGUGCUUCGCCUGCCACUCUGAUUGUUCCAUGUUCCUUUCCUGGUUUUCUUUCUUCUUCCAGCUGUGACCACUUCUCAAGGCUUUGUCUGAAUGUAUGACAGCAUGUCCACAAUGGUGUACAUAAAGGAUGACAAGUUGGAGAAGCUUACGCAGGAUGAAAUUAUUUCUAAGACAAAGCAAGUAAUUCAGGGGCUGGAAGCUCUGAAAAAUGAGCACAAUUCCAUUUUACAAAGUUUACUUGAGACACUGAAGUGUUUGAAGAAAGACGAUGAAAGUAAUCUGGUGGAAGAGAAAUCAAACAUGAUCCGAAAGUCACUGGAAAUGUUGGAGCUCGGCCUGAGUGAGGCACAGGUCAUGAUGGCUUUAUCCAAUCACCUGAAUGCUGUUGAGUCCGAGAAACAGAAACUGCGUGCGCAGGUUCGUCGGCUGUGCCAGGAGAAUCAGUGGCUGCGGGAUGAGUUGGCCAACACGCAGCAGAAAUUACAGAAGAGUGAGCAGUCUGUGGCUCAACUGGAGGAAGAAAAGAAGCAUCUGGAAUUCAUGAAUCAGUUAAAGAAAUACGAUGAUGACAUUUCUCCCUCUGAGGACAAAGACACUGAUUCCACCAAAGAACCUCUGGAUGACCUUUUCCCAAAUGACGAUGAUGAUCCUGGUCAAGGAAUCCAGCAACAGCAUAGCAGCGCAGCAGCAGCUGCCCAACAGGGUGGCUACGAGAUCCCUGCACGGCUGCGCACCCUGCACAACCUGGUCAUCCAGUACGCCUCACAGGGGCGCUACGAGGUGGCCGUGCCCCUCUGCAAGCAGGCCCUGGAGGACCUGGAGAAGACUUCUGGCCACGACCACCCAGAUGUGGCCACCAUGCUGAACAUCCUGGCCUUGGUGUACAGAGACCAGAAUAAGUACAAAGAUGCAGCCAAUCUACUGAAUGACGCCUUGGCCAUCCGUGAAAAAACUUUGGGCAAAGAUCAUCCUGCGGUGGCAGCAACUCUGAAUAACCUCGCAGUGCUUUACGGCAAAAGAGGGAAGUACAAGGAAGCCGAGCCUCUGUGCAAGAGAGCUCUGGAGAUCAGAGAAAAGGUUUUGGGAAAGGAUCACCCCGAUGUUGCCAAGCAAUUAAAUAACUUGGCCUUACUGUGCCAGAACCAGGGGAAAUACGAAGAAGUAGAGUAUUAUUAUCAGAGAGCCCUUGAGAUCUACCAAACAAAACUGGGGCCCGAUGACCCCAAUGUGGCCAAAACGAAAAAUAACCUGGCGUCCUGCUAUCUGAAGCAAGGAAAAUUCAAGCAAGCAGAAACACUGUACAAAGAGAUCCUCACGCGGGCACACGAAAGGGAGUUUGGUUCUGUAGAUGAUGAAAAUAAGCCCAUCUGGAUGCACGCUGAAGAAAGAGAAGAAUGCAAAGGAAAGCAAAAGGAUGGGGCAUCCUUUGGAGAAUAUGGCGGCUGGUACAAAGCCUGCAAAGUCGACAGUCCAACUGUUACAACUACUUUAAAAAACCUUGGGGCACUUUACAGACGUCAAGGCAAAUUUGAAGCUGCAGAAACAUUGGAAGAAGCAGCCAUGAGGUCACGUAAACAGGGUCUUGACAAUGUUCACAAACAGAGAGUAGCCGAAGUGCUGAACGACCCUGAGAACAUGGAGAGACGGAGAAGCCGGGAGAGCCUCAACGCAGACGUGGUCAAGUACGAGAGCGGCCCUGACGGAGGCGAGGAAGUGAGUAUGCGCGUAGAGUGGAGCGGGGAUGGCACUGGAUCUUUAAAACGCAGUGGUUCCUUUAGCAAACUCCGGGCUUCAAUUAGACGCAGCAGUGAGAAGCUGGUUAGGAAGCUGAAGGGAGGAAGUUCCCGAGAGAGUGAGCCGAAGAACCCCGGCGUGAAGCGUGCCAGUUCCCUGAACAUCCUUAACGUGGGUGGCAAGGCAGCUGAAGACCAUUUCCAAGUAAGGAACCCACACCACGAUGGCCCCUGACCCACCUAGACAAGGUCAGCUGUGCCGACCUCCCUUGGCACCACUGUCACCUCCAGGGCCUUGCAAACGUUUGAGUGGUUCUGAUCUUAGAAAUUGGCCUCAGAAUGGUAUUUUCAUACUCUGCAUUAACUUUGGGCGUCUCCAGUCGAGCCUCUUUUUGUGGAAAACGACAGCAGUAGCUACCUGGAAGACGCUCACCCUAACUGAAGCCAUGCUUGGCCCCGAGGGCCCGGAACGACACUGCUUGUGAGCGGCCAGAGCCGGCCCUGUGACGGCGGGGACGGCCGCUGAGGCGGAGGGCGUGGAGCUGGGCAUCCGCAGCACUGACCUCGUCUUCUCCCGCGUCCCUGCGGGGAGCAUGCUGUCCUUCUGACACCGCACUGCCUGGCCACCCUUGGCCCUUGACGGACAGCAGGGCGAGCAGCCUCCCUCCAGCCCUUCCAGGGAAGCCCCAGGCCGCCGCAGUCCUGAGCUUGGACUUGGAGGCCUUGAGUGCCAUUGCUCCUUGUCACUUCCCUGCACUACGUGUGAUAGUUUUAUUGUAAAUUUUUUUUUAAUUAAAACUUUAAACAACUUA